AACGAACGCUGGCGGCAUGCCUAACACAUGCAAGUCGAACGAGACCUUCGGGUCUAGUGGCGCACGGGUGCGUAACGCGUGGGAAUCUGCCCUUGGGUUCGGAAUAACAGUUAGAAAUGACUGCUAAUACCGGAUAAUGUCUUCGGACCAAAGAUUUAUCGCCCAGGGAUGAGCCCGCGUAGGAUUAGCUAGUUGGUGAGGUAAAGGCUCACCAAGGCGACGAUCCUUAGCUGGUCUGAGAGGAUGAUCAGCCACACUGGGACUGAGACACGGCCCAGACUCCUACGGGAGGCAGCAGUGGGGAAUAUUGGACAAUGGGGGAAACCCUGAUCCAGCCAUGCCGCGUGAGUGAAGAAGGCCUUCGGGUUGUUAAAGGCUCUUUUGCCAGGGAAGGAUGAUGACUGUACCUGGAGAAUAAAGCCCCGGCUAACUUCGUGCCAGCAGCCGCGGUAAU
Molecule: ribosomal RNA, 454 nt
Filed under: uncultured bacterium
Lineage: Bacteria
Description: bacterial SSU rRNA
Rfam family: Bacterial small subunit ribosomal RNA
Source: RNAcentral